UUGCAGAAAACUCUCAGCUGAAAUUUCAUUCACUUCCCAUCGAAGAAUCACAAAGCUCAAAACAGUAGGAGAAUCGAUUCUUCGACACUGUUUUCUACAUUUGUUUUUAUAUAUACAUGUAGCUCUCUCUCUCUCUCUCUAGCUCAUCUGGUUCAUUCCUCAAACUGCCAUCAGUUUGAGCAAGAUGGCUAAUCCAAAUAAUGUUGAGCUGGAGGCAGCAAAGUUUCUGCAUAAGCUUAUUCAAGAGUCUAAAGACGAGCCGACAAAAUUGGCUACAAAGCUUUAUGUGAUUUUACAACAUAUGAGAUCCAGCGGGAAGGAGAACUCAAUGCCCUAUCAAGUAAUAUCAAGGGCCAUGGAGACUGUUGUCAAGCAACAUGGUCUUGAUAUUGAGGCUUUAAUGUCCUCGCGUCUUCCUAUGUCUGCGGGAGUGCAAGUAGGAGAAGCUGCAUCAUCACAAGUAGCUGGAUCUUCACAGAGGGCCGGGGUAACUAGAGAAUCGAAAGCCAAUUUGCUGGGAAACGAGAUGGUAAAACCAGAUGCAUAUGCGUCAAACAGUGCAGUUAGUGGUCCAAGCGGCAGUGGACAUGGUAUUUAUCAAGCAUCUGCACCACACAUAGGUGGUACAGGCGUCAAAGUUCCUGUAAUGGUGCCUUCUGCGUCUAAUUCAUCUCAGCCAGUAGAACCAGGAAUUUCAAGUCCAGUGCAGUUUGGAAGUCCUUCAAUUGAUAAUCAUGGUUAUGCAGCAAAAUUCCACAAAGAUGGAAGCACGGAACCUUUCUCUGGUUCAACCUCGGUUGAUCUUGUUGCCGGCAGAACUGCAGCGGGAAGAGCACUAGAGCAUGAAGGAGGAUCUAGUAUGUUGGGAAAUGCUAGCAAGAUCAGUCAGGGGGGCAUGCCUAACAAUGUCCCGGAGAAGAGUAUGCUUAGAAGUGAAACUAUCAGAGAUGCAGGGAAGUUACCUGUUGCGGCUCAGGCUCCUGUAUCUGCCAUGCCUUUCAAAGAACAUCAUUUGAAACAGCUUAGAGCACAAUGUCUUGUGUUUUUGGCUUUUAGGAAUGGUUUAAUGCCUAAGAAGCUUCAUCUUGAAAUUGCGCUUGGCAACUUCUAUCCCAAAGAAGGAAGGGAGCAACUGCUUACUGACCAAGGCAGUGCAUCUGAAGUCACACGGCCAUUAGGAGGAGCUGGCGAAAUUGACAGGCUUUCUUCUGGGCCUACGUCCUCUGGAGUUAUUGCUGAUACAAAUUCGUCAAUGGAGGCUGAGAAUGCUAACUUGAUGGAAGAUAAAAGUAGUCAGCUUGAUCCUUCUGAGCAUGCGGACGAAAGGAGGCCUCAAAGAAAGAUGAGAAUGAUUCAGGAUGCUGAAGUGCCCAUCCGGGAUGCUACAGAAUCACAGGCAUCUGCUCUUAGAGGAGUACCAAUUGAUUCAAAACCCUUAGGUCCCAAUAAUCAUGAGCAUGCUCUCGCAAAUACUGAACAACCAGGAAUGUUUCCCCAAGCUUCCUCUGUUACGGGCACAAGCAUGCAAAUGAAGCCUGAUCUUAGUGGUUGGAGUGGAACUGAGGCGUCAAAGGUAUCACCACCUGCCUCUGCCAAUACCCAUGAAUCUGGUCUGCUAAUGAAAGAUUGUGCUGCUGAUAGCAAUGCUCAAGGAAAUCGACAUGCUGAUAGUAACUUGCCUAGUUUACCCUUGAGGCAACAGUGGAAAUCUGUUCCUGGAGCAAUUAAUCAGAGUCCUAUAAUGAUGCAAGUGAAGGAUUCAAAUAUAAUGCUGAAAAAUCUGUCACAAGUGCAAGAAACAGAUCAAGAGGAUGAAAAUAUUUCAGCAUCCACAGAUAGGUUACUAUCUCCAAGGCAUACAAUGAUGGAGAAAUGGAUUUUGGAUCGGCAGAAAAGGAAACAUCUUAGUGAACAGAAAUGGUCGGAGAAACAGCAAAAAACGGAAAAAAGAAUUGCUUCUUGUGCAGCGAAGUUGAAGGAAUCGGUGAGCUCCUCUGAGGAUAUCUCUGCAAAAACAAAAAGUGUCAUUGAGCUGAAAAAGCUUCAAUUGCUGGAGCUGCAGCGCCGUCUACGGAGUGAAAUUCUCAACGAUUUUUUCAAACCAAUAGCAGCUGACAUAGAGCGCUUAAAAUCAAUCAAGAAACACAGAAUUGGGAGGAAAUCAAAGCAACUUGAAAGAUAUGAACAAAAAAUGAAGGAAGAGCGUCAAAAAAGAAUUCGUGAGAGACAGAAGGAGUUCUUCAGUGAGAUUGAAGUUCAUAGGGAAAGAUUGGAAGAUGUAUUCAAAAUGAAGAGAGAACGUUGGAAAGGUUUCAAUAAGUAUGCUAAAGAGUUCCAUAAAAGGAAGGAACGGAUACAUCGUGAGAAGAUUGACAGAAUCCAGCGUGAGAAAAUUAAUUUGCUGAAAAUCAAUGAUGUUGAGGGAUACCUUAGAAUGGUUCAGGACGCAAAGUCGGAUCGUGUUAAACAACUACUAAAAGAGACGGAAAAGUACCUCCAACAGCUUGGAUCCAAAUUAAAGGACGCUAAGUCAAUAGCAAGAAAAUUUGAUACCGACAUGGGUGACAAUAGAAACACUGGUGUGGUUGAGGAGGAUGAAAUUGACUUCGGUGAUGAGGAUGAAACAGAUCAGGCUAAGCAUUACUUGGAAAGCAAUGAAAAAUACUAUAUGAUGGCACAUAGUGUAAAGGAGACCAUUGCAGAGCAGCCUACUUCUCUCAAAGGUGGAAAAUUAAGGGAGUACCAAAUGAAUGGAUUACGAUGGUUGGUUUCGCUCUACAAUAACCAUUUGAAUGGAAUUUUAGCUGAUGAGAUGGGACUCGGUAAAACUGUUCAGGUUAUAUCCCUAAUGUGUUACCUGAUGGAAGCCAAAAAUGACAGAGGACCUUUUCUGGUGGUAGUGCCAUCCUCUGUCCUGCCUGGAUGGGAGUCAGAGAUAAACUUUUGGGCACCAGAUAUGCUCAAAAUAGUUUAUUCUGGACCACCAGAAGAGCGGAGGAAGCUUUUCAAGGAAAGAAUAGUUCAUCAAAAGUUCAAUGUUCUUUUGACAACAUAUGAGUAUUUGAUGAACAAACAUGAUCGGCCAAAACUAAGCAAAAUACAUUGGCACUAUAUCAUAAUUGAUGAAGGCCAUCGCAUAAAAAAUGCUUCUUGCAAGUUGAAUGCUGAUCUCAAGCACUAUCGCAGUAAUCAUAGGUUGCUGUUGACGGGAACUCCUCUUCAGAACAAUCUUGAGGAGCUCUGGGCACUCCUUAACUUCCUUUUGCCAAAUAUCUUCAACUCAUCAGAAGACUUCUCACAAUGGUUUAACAAACCAUUUGAGAGUAAUGGUGACAACUCUGCUGAUGAGGCUUUGCUCUCCGAGGAGGAAAAUCUUUUGAUCAUAAAUCGUCUGCACCAAGUUCUGCGUCCGUUUGUACUUAGGAGAUUGAAACACAAGGUUGAGAAUGAAUUACCUGAAAAGAUUGAAAGGCUUGUUAGAUGUGAAGCUUCUUCAUAUCAGAAGCUUUUGAUGAAGCGAGUGGAAGAAAACCUUGGUGCAUUCGGAACUUCAAAGGCUCGCUCAGUCCACAAUUCUGUUAUGGAGCUACGCAAUAUUUGUAAUCAUCCGUAUCUUAGCCAGCUUCAUGUGGAGGAGAUUCACGAGUUAAUUCCUAAGCAUUAUCUGCCGAACAUUGUGAGGAUUUGUGGGAAGCUUGAGAUGUUGGACAGACUACUGCCGAAACUUAAGGCAACAGAUCAUCGGGUCUUGCUUUUCUCAACUAUGACCAGGCUGCUUGAUGUAAUGGAGGAUUAUCUCUGCUGGAAGGAAUAUAAGUACCUUCGCUUGGAUGGACAUACGUCUGGGGGCGAUAGAGGUGCCCUUAUUGAUGGAUUUAAUCAGCCAAAUUCUCCAUUCUUUAUAUUUCUGUUGAGUAUUCGUGCUGGGGGAGUUGGAGUGAAUCUUCAAGCUGCUGAUACAGUGAUACUUUUUGACACGGAUUGGAAUCCUCAGGUUGAUCUCCAAGCACAGGCAAGGGCUCAUAGGAUUGGUCAAAAGAAGGAUGUUCUUGUUCUUCGAUUGGAAACGGUCCAAACCGUUGAGGAACAAGUUAGAGCUGCUGCGGAGCACAAACUUGGAGUCGCUAACCAAAGCAUUACUGCUGGAUUCUUUGAUAAUAACACAAGUGCGGAGGACCGAAGGGAAUACUUGGAGUCCCUCUUGCGUGAAAGCAAAAAAGAGGAAGCUGCACCCGUUCUUGAUGAUGAUUCUUUGAAUGAUCUUAUAGCGCGAAGUGAGCCAGAGAUUGAUAUAUUUGAAUCAAUUGAUAGGAGAAGGCGUGAAGAAGAGAUGGAAGUCUGGAAGAAGUUGUGUUCAGAAAGUGGAAGUUCAGAGCUCAUUCCUCCUUUGCCCUCUCGGCUUCUUACUGAUGAAGACUUGAAACCAUUUUAUGAAGCAAUGAAAAUAAAUGAUAAGCCAGCUGUGGCUCCUAACCCUGGGUUAAAACGGAAGGGUGAGAGUCUUGGGGGCCUUGAUAUCCAACAUUAUGGACGUGGAAAAAGAACAAGAGAGGUUCGCUCAUAUGAAGAGCAAUGGACAGAAGAGGAAUUUGAGAAAAUGUGCCUUGCUGAGUCUCCUCAAUCACCUAUUCUAAGGGAAGAAAUUCAGGAAAAGAAAUUCUUUCCAGUCUCUGGCAGUUGUCCUGCCCCUGUUGCCAUUAGUGAAAUACAAACACCAGCACUGGAUCAACCUCCUCCCCAGCAGCCUGCGCAAGAACUUCCCCAACAGCUUGCCCAAGAACUUCCCCAACAGCCUGCACAAGAGCUUCCCCAACAACUUCUUGGGCCCAUAGUUCAACAAAGCCCUGUGACCGUGACUCCGCCAUCUAAACGGGGCCGGGGAAGGCCAAGGAGGACAGCAAUAGUAACUGAAAUCUCACCGUCCCCUGUCGUUCUUUCAGCAACUGCAGCUGUAAAGGUGGAUAGCAUAUCCGUUGCAGAAAAUACUUCUACCAGUCAGGCAACUUCUGGGCCUGUUUCUGUGUCCAUUCCUUGUGCUUCCUCUGUGGAAAGUACCAGUGCAACUAUCCUAGAGAGUGCUGCAGCUGUUGCUCCUAGCCAUCAGGCAAUUGUUCCUUCUGUUGCUUCUCUGUCUGGUCCUCCUUGUCCUCCUACAAGUGGGCAGGGUAGGGGACGAGGUAGAGGGCGAGGGCGAGGUCGAGGGCGAGGUAGGAAGGUCGAAAAUGGAGAAGCUCCAGGGCGUAGAGGGAAACGACAGAGUGUUACAACAGAGGCGUUUCUCUCCCCUCCAACUCAAGCAAUAAGUGAGCCUGUCUCGGCAGCACAAGGUGUGAGUGUUUUGAGCUCUUCAAGUCACCAUAUGCCUCCAACACCUCCCUCAAUGGGGAAGCCUGAUCUGGUGCCACAGGUAGUGGCAGGUUUGGGUUCAAAAGAACUUGGUCAUGCUCCUGCAUCCGUGAGAGAUGCUAAUAAGGAACUGAAUUCAGUUUCUAUGAUGCCUCUUGCAUCAUCUUCCACUAGCAAGGAAGUAAUCUCUGUUUCAACUGUUCCUGUUAUUCCAUCAUCUACUUCCAGCCAGGACCCUAGUUCAAUUUCACCUGCAGUCCAUUCAUCCUCAAAAAACCAUUCAGAAGACAAUCUUUCCUUCUCUGCUGCCCAGACCGAAGCUACUCAGCAAGCUAAUGCAAUUUCAGUUGUGCCUCAUACUUCACCUUCGGCUGGCACGGAACCAAGUUCUGCGUCACCUGUUCCUCUUCUUUCGUUAACUUCCAAGGACUCCGGUUCAGUUUUACCUGCUCCUGUUCCUGCAUCAUCUUCUGCAUGCAUGGAACUAAGUUCAGUUUGCCCUGUUCCUGCUGUUGCAUCCUCCUGUUCCAGCAUGGGUCCAACUUCGUCAGCACCUGCUCCUCUUCUUUUAGCAUCUAAUGCAACAGGCAAAUUAGAUUCCGGAUCAGAUAAGGGGACAUUUUCUUUCUCUUCUGCUAUUUCAGGUCAUGAUGAUUCUUUAUGUGAUUCUUCUAUCUUGAAGAAUAUUGGUCAAGGAGAUUCUGGUGUAGGAACUGGUCAUAUUUCUGAUCUAGUGCCUUUGCCUGCAAUUUCAUCGGUUUCACAGUAUAGCACUCCUCCCACUGCAGCUAAGCCAGGUAGAGGACGAGGACGCAAGCCUCAAACUGGAAGUGAGCCACCACGGCGCAGGGGGAAGAGACAUGAUUUGAUCACCACAACUGUUACUGAAGGGUUAGGUGCUCAGGAUCCAAGAUCAAUUGAACCCCCACAAAAGAGAACCAGGUUAUCCGUUGGGAGGAAGCCCACUACAAGAAGCAAGCGUGAGAAUGAAGCUCAACAAGUAGUUGUAGACCAGUCGGUUGCAUCUCAAAGGACUCCAGAUUUUUCUGGUGGACAAAUCCAAGAUAUGGUCCGUAGUGAAAUUGAUCCACAGAACAAUGCUAUCAACCGAGAUGCAUCUCAAUCCCAUGCUAUUCUGGUUCCUGGUCAGGUGGGUGAUAAUGUAAACCCGGAUAUUGAUACUGCUGAAAAGGUUCUCGAUGAUGCUCAGAGAAAGGCAACUGUGAUCCAAUCUGUUGCACCUCGAAGUUGCUCUGGUCCUCCUAUUGAGCUGCAGAUUAACAUGGUCAACUCUGGCGAUUCUCCUGCUCAGGAAGUGCAGGAACAAACAGCCAUUGUCCAGUCAGAUGCAUCUCAAAUGAUUCCAGAUCCUAGUGCAAGACCAAUCCCUCAAGCUAUGGUGCGUUCUGAAGUUGAGCUACAUAGCAAUGCUAUCAAAUCCGACACAUCACAAUCCAGUGGUCGUGUUGCUGAAUGGGUAGAUACUGUUAAUAUAAGCCGUGGAGCUGCUACAACUAAGGAGGUUCUCAGUGAGGAUCAACAAAUAAUGAAAGUUCAGUCAGCUGCAUCUCAGACGCCUUCAGUUCACUCUGUUGGGAAAAUCCCUGAAGAUAUAGUGUGUAAUGAAGUUCAGCCGCAGUCUGAUGCUAUCCAAACAGAUCCAUCGCAAUCCCAUGUUACUCUUUCCUCUGCACGGGUGGACAAUGUCAAGGAAAAAGAAAAUGCUAUGACGAGAGAGGUGCCCUUGGUAACUCCACUAUCAGAGGCCAAAGAAGAGAGAUAUUCGAGAAGUAAAUAUGACAGCCCUCCAAUUUUACGUGUAUCUUCUUGUGAUGAGUUGGCUGUAUCAACUUCAGGAUCAAGGGCUCAGGUUAGUGAUUGUCUGGCUGAGAAGAGUGAAGGUGAUUCUAAGGGUGAAGGUGCUGAAAAGAGUGAAACUAAUUCUAAAGGUGAAGGUGGUAAAAUUGAGGCUAUGAAUGACAAAUGUGAGAGUGAUUGUAAGAAUGAAAAUGAUGAAAAGGGAGCUGGGAGAUGCAUGAAGGUUGGUGAAUCACAGGCAUCAUCUCUAAGUUAUGUCGAAUCUACAUUAGUUCAAAUCCAUGCAAGCAAUUGCACGAAUGCUGCUCUACUCGAUAAGGAGGAUUCAUGCAAAACUUCACUGGCAGGUAAGAGUGGGUCAAACAUGGCUGCAGAAAAAGAUGUUGACCUGCUACAGACGGAGGAUCUUUCUCUUGAUAAAUCAUUUGUUAGUAAAACUGAGGUAGCCAGCAUUGAGAGUCGUGAUGGUGGUGGACUCACAAAAGAAAAGGACACAGGAGACACCAUAGAGGAGGAGACUGUUGUUUCACCUGCAGUGGGGACUGAUAGUCAAAAUAUGAAGGGAAUCACAUCCUUUGGAUCUCCAUCUACCGAGACAGAAGCUUUAGUUGAUGUUCAUCAGGAAGGCAAACUUGAAGUAUCGGGAGAAGGAACACAUUCUGAUAAAGUUGUAAUGGCCGAGGUUUGUGAACCAGACAAGUUAUCAGUUAAAGCUUCACUGGAGAUAACUAAAGAUUUAAGUAGGGUGGAGGAGGAAAAAUCUUUGACUCCAGAAACUUUUGAGAAGCAAGCUAAUGUUGCAGACUCCCUUACAGAAAAAUGUGAGAGCGAUCUUGCAGCGCAAGGUCCAGAUAUGAAAGAUUCGGAUGUAAGUGAAGUUGCACCAAGCCCUAGAAAUGAGUCCCAAUCCAGUUUAACUGUUGGCACAUCACAAAGGGAACCUGAACAACAAGCAAUUGCUGAAGCAAACUUGCACCCAGAGACUUUGCGAAGCACGGAAUCUGGUGCUAGGGAGGAAUCCCUUUCACUUAGGAUUGCUUCAAAUCCCGAAGCUGUUGAGGCUCCAAAAGAAACAUUUUGCAGCAACCAUGACACGAAUUGUGUAGCUGAAUUACAGGGUAACAUGAGUUCUGAUGUAAAGGAAGAUCUUUCUAAUUCUGAAACUAAUGUGUCUCAACUAUGUCCAGCUGUUGGGUCAUCUGAAAAUCACCCAGAAUUAAAACAGGUUAUGGUGGAAGACAUGCGAACUAAAAUUUGUGAGGAGUCUGCUUCACAUGAAGUUGAUGAUAUUGUACUGCCUCAAACGGAGAAAGCUGGUGUUCAGUGCCGUGAUGAUUUGUCUGUUGAGACAAUCGAGAGCAGAAGAUCUGAAGAUAAUGUAGAUGUUUUAAAUGGUGAACUAAAAAAACCUCCAUCCAGCACAAUUGCUGGAACAUCUGAAAAGGUAGCAGAUCUGCUGUUAGUUGCUGAGGAAAACACAGUAAGGAUAAAUGAUGGUUCAAUAGAUUCAGGUCACGUGGCAGAAAAGUCCGAGGAUAUAUCAAUCCAAGAUCUUACUGUUGAAGGUCAAGCGACCAAGGGAAGUGAUGCUGCCGAAGAUACUUCAACAUCAAAUUCUACAUUUAAUGAACCUCAACACAGUGCUGGCACAUCUAAAAAUGAAGUGGAAUCUCAAUUUUCUGCCUUAGAAAAAAUAGAAAAGAUGUAUAGCGAGUCAGUGGCAUCGGGUGAGGUAAUAGCUCCCAAACCUCCGAUAAAAAAGUCUCAGAGUUUGCAUGUCCAAGACCUGGUGGACAAAGGAUUUGAUGCCACUGGAGAUGUUUUAAAAUCUAAGUCUGAACUAAAUGAAGCUCAACCUGGUGGAACAUCUCAAAUAGGGGUAGAGUUACAGUUGGUUGUGGAAGAGAACUCAGAGACGAGGAAUAAGGAGGAUGGUUUACCUGAUGCUACAGCUGUUAAGCCCACUGAGAAUUUGGGUAUCCAAGAUCCUGCACAUCAAGAAGCCGAGAACCAACGAUCUGAUGCAACUGAAGAGUUUUCAACAUUAAAUGUUGAACUUAAUGAAUCUCAACCAGAAGCAGCAGAUGGAACUUCUGAAAGAGUGGUGGAGUCUAAUUCAGUUUCCAAACAAGACAUGGAAAUUCAUGAGGAGGUUCCUACCGGGGAUGAUACAGCUGAGAAUGCUGCAGUAGGGAAGUCUAAAAAUUUUCCCUCGAUAGAUGUUGCUGUUGAAGGAAAAGGGAAUAAAGAAUCUGAUGUAACAGAUGAAAUUUCCAAUUCUGAACUCAGUGAACCUAAAUCCAGUCAAUCCACAAUUAAUGUGGAAACACAUUUAAUUUGUGAUGAGUCGGGAAUGACUGACAAGGAGGUGGCUCCACUUGAAGUUGAAGUAGUUGAAACUCCAUGCAGAGAUUUUCCUGGUGGUUCUGGCAGAGACUUGGAAGUUGAAGGACAAGAAGAAAAGAAGUCUACUGCAAGUAAAAAUGUUUCUAACCCUGAGAGUGAAGAGCCUAAAGGCAGUCCAGGUGCUAGAGCCGCUGAUAAUGGGGCAGAAUCACAAUUGGUCGCUGAGAGGAUCUCCGAGACAGCUCUGAGCAAGGAGGUCUUUUCAGGCAAAGAAGAGAACUCCAGUAUCAAGCAAGGUGGAGAUGAAAACAUGUCAACUGCAACAGAGUAUGUUGAUGAAGAAUUGUCAUCUGCUACAGGGGCUGGUGAUGAUAAAACUGUGUCCACUGCAGUUACUGAUGCUUGAUCUGGCAUUUCUCCUGUAUUGCAGGUUACGUCUUAACAAUCUUGGGAGGAUAGGGAUUGAUAUAAACUAGCAACAGUACCUCGAGGAUUUCCAGUUCUUCAUGCGGAUCUCCAGACGUGAUGGAUGAGCAGGACUGGCAUCGCUGGCAUCACUGGAAUCUGCAUCUUCAAAGCGGAUGAUUCAGGUCAAAGGUUUAAAGUUAGAUAGUAUGUGAACUGGUAGUGUAUACUCCCUAUUUGCUGUAAAUUAUAUAUGUAGUUAUUAGCUCAUUCCUCCGUCCCUGGGUGUAUGUACGCGAUAUAACCUGGUCCAAAAUCUCUGGCAGCUCACAGCUGUAUCGAUAUUAUUUCCGCUAUAGUCAGAAGCUCCUCUUUCUGGCCAAGUUUCUCUCUCACAGGCCAUUGACUUUAGGAUUGCACCUGAAUUGUCUAUAGUCGUCUAUUUACCUUCUUAUCAAUUUGUUUUUCCACUUUCUA
Nicotiana tabacum (common tobacco) is the source of this 10392-nucleotide RNA transcript. RefSeq lists it as uncharacterized. The record is from RefSeq and is a predicted model, not a curated record. NCBI's taxonomy places the organism in Eukaryota, Viridiplantae, Streptophyta, Magnoliopsida, Solanales, Solanaceae.